Molecule: long non-coding RNA, 507 nt
Filed under: Equus caballus (horse)
Lineage: Eukaryota; Metazoa; Chordata; Mammalia; Perissodactyla; Equidae
Description: lncRNA (ENSECAG00000031443.2)
Source: RNAcentral
UUCGGCUGAGGGGAAGGAGGCACGCGACUGAGUGACAAUGGGUGUGAACCGACCUUUCUCUGUCAGCCUGCAGUGGGUCUGCCACCCUCUCAGGGAGAGCUCAAUGGCUGGAACGCACUGCAAGACAGAAGAAGAAUUGGAGUGGGGGCUGAUUUUGUCAUCACCAGUGAGUCCUCAGGGCUGUGGGUCUGUCGAGGCCCGGCAGCUGGCCGGUGAAGAAGAUGCAAAGAGGUCUAUGUGUAAAGCAUAACCAGCCUUCCACACAUCUGGAAUGCUUCCACGAUCUGUCUGCACGCAGCUGCUGGAGGAGGACCAACGUACCCUGGCUCUGCAGUCUCAUGGCAUCACGGACCUGUACCUGAGGGCUCCUAGGGGCAAAUCUGAGGAACACAAGCUUCUGAUUUUACCAGGACACAAUUUCCUGUCAUUAGAUUGAACGAGGUCAUGACCAUCCCUAUACUAAAGGACCGCCAGGCUACUGCUCCUGGAAGAUUUUUUGCUCCUGUC